UAGGGAAUCUUCGGCAAUGGAUGGAAGUCUGACCGAGCAACGCCGCGUGAGUGAAGAAGGUUUUCGGAUCGUAAAGCUCUGUUGUUAGAGAAGAACGUUGGUAGGAGUGGAAAAUCUACCAAGUGACGGUAACUAACCAGAAAGGGACGGCUAACUACGUGCCAGCAGCCGCGGUAAUACGUAGGUCCCGAGCGUUGUCCGGAUUUAUUGGGCGUAAAGCGAGCGCAGGCGGUUCUUUAAGUCUGAAGUUAAAGGCAGUGGCUUAACCAUUGUACGCUUUGGAAACUGGAGGACUUGAGUGCAGAAGGGGAGGAUGGAAUUCCAUGUGUAGCGGUGAAAUGCGUAGAUAUAUGGAGGAACACCGGUGGCGAAAGCGGCUCUCUUGUCUGUAACUGACGCUGAGGCUCGAAAGCGUGGGGAGCAAACAGG
This 429-nucleotide ribosomal RNA is filed under the name Bacillota bacterium. RNAcentral's name for it is "Firmicutes bacterium partial 16S ribosomal RNA". It matches the Rfam family "Bacterial small subunit ribosomal RNA", at positions 355 to 776 of the family's 1533-position model. Lineage: Bacteria; Bacillati; Bacillota. The record is from RNAcentral.